Long non-coding RNA from Canis lupus familiaris (dog), 2973 nucleotides. RefSeq lists it as uncharacterized. The record is from RefSeq and is a predicted model, not a curated record. NCBI's taxonomy places the organism in Eukaryota, Metazoa, Chordata, Mammalia, Carnivora, Canidae. The transcript has 4 exons.
GAGAAGGCCGCCAUGUUGGGCCGCCAUGUUCUUCUCCGAGACGCUGCAGACCCUCGCAGCCCGGUUAUUAAAAAUACCUUUGUUUCGUGUUGGCGCCAAAAGCUUCUUUUCGGCUGUACUUUAAAGAACCGUCUCAGCACAAAAAUUCAGUACACGAUGCAUUAAAUAGGAGGAGCCUGAAACUGAAAGCUUUAGUCACGCAAGGUCUAGAACUCUGAAAUUGGACCGCCAUGGUCGGAAUGUGGGGCUUUUUAUCUCCAUAGGCCAAGCAGGCUGUGUGUCUGCGGCACAUUAACCCGCCCGGGGCCUUUUCCGGAGCCCACGACAGACAUCACUAAUCAAUUUGGAGACCGUUUUGCUCCUGGCUACGUCAUCCCAGAAUCCUUUUCUACCCAGCACUUUGAGAAGCCAUUACCAAUCGAUUGGCGUUGGGUCCGACUUAAGACCUGUUUUCCUUGCGUGGUCCUUGCCGUUUCCACUAGAGGGGGGGGGACGCCUCUUGAGAAAAUGAUUGAAUAGCGGCCACUUCCCUGAUGCCCUGAGGUGGAAACUAUGAAAACCCAGUUUUUCAUGUGGCUGAUUAAUGUUUUCAAAGUCUUAAACGCUCCUCGGAUUCGCUCUCUCUGCGUUCGUCACAUUGCUGGUGGAAGGGCAUGGAAAGUGGACACUAAAGGAUGGCCUCAAGUAAAUGACUGUGUAAUUCUCUAAAAUCUGGUGCCCUUUUAAUAGAUUUUAUUUAUUUAUUCGUGAAAGACAGAUCGAGAGAGGCAGAGACACAGGCAGAGGGAGAAGCAGGCUCCAUGCAGGGAGCCCGAGGCGGGACUCCAUCCCAGGUGUCCAGGAUCAGGCCCUGGGCUGAAGGCGGCGCUAAACGGCUGAGCCACGCAGGCUGCCCCACCAAUUUUAAAAUAUGAGAAAUUAUCUGUGGCGACAAAUAAAAUGUUUGCGUUAUAUCCAUCUAAUUUUUUGUUUCUUUGCAUCCUUUCAGUUGUUGUCUUUAUGACCUGAGAAACUUUGCAUUUCCCCAGUUGUUUGAAUGCAGAGUCAGGGGUGUGUAAAUCAAGCAUACUCUGCAUGAACAAAAUGUACAACAAGGCAUCUAACUGCCAGCUUUGCCUCACACAAUGAAGAAAGCCGGGCAGCUCAACAAAGCCUUGGGUCAAUUCCUUGGAUUUCCUAACAGAGACUCUUGAUGUGACUGAAUUUUGGGCUGCUUCUGUUUGCUUCGUGGUUUCCUCUUUGUAAUCGCGGAAGCAAUGUUACUGGAAGUUUCUGGGAUUUUUCUCUCUUUUUAAAAAGAAUUCUCAAUAAAAUUAUAUGGCAAGAAGUACAAAAAGCAACAAGGGAGAAAUGAGACCAGUACAAAUGCAGUGCCAUGGUAAAGCGGAGUGCAACACUUGGAGUUUCUGACAGUUGUCUUGGUGCCUAUCAGCAGACUGCAGCUGGACAUCUUUAGAAUGUGCAUAGACCUCGCUGCUGAUUUAAUGAGAAUCAUUUCCAAAUGAUUGUCAUGCAAUACCUGAGUAAAUGGUUUCUUCAACCCCCCAAGACACUGUAAAGCUCAGACUUCCCUUGAAACCUUGAAACCUUCAGGAAAUUGUCUGUUGAGGGGACACCAGUGAUCCUCCCAGAAGAGACCCAUUCCUAACAAUGCUAUUUAUUUUGAGGAUAGCAAAAACUAUAUAUGACUAAGUACAGAUGUUUGCGUUUGGUUGGUGUCUUAUUUCUUUUGUGUUACCAGUUUUCUCUUUCUUCACAGGCCUGCCUCUCCGCCUUCGGGUGCCACAGAAAUGAGUGUGUUCUCUUCGCAGGCAACUCAUACAAGUUCUGUAUAAACUGUGGCCUUAACUAGGGUGACCAAUAGGAGAUACACGUGAUCCUUUAUUUUCCUAAUGAGGAAGAGGAAAAUAACCAAGUAGGUAGAAACAUCUGGAUUUGAAUCCAGGUUUGUCUGAUUUCAAAGCAUACUCUUGUCUGUAGCACUUGGUAUGGAGGGUGAUGGGAGUUGCUUUAAUUUUUCUGAAGUACUCUUCUAAAUACACUAAUUUAUUAGAGUUAAUUCUCUGUGUUCAGAAAUGACAGCUACUGGGACCUAUUGUUAAUAUUUAUCUACAUAUGAACAAAUCCACUUGAACACUAAAAGUAUGUGAUUUUUCCUUACGCAGACAUGGCAAGAAACAACCAAACUAAAACUGCUGACCCGUAACUUAAUUCCAGGAAAUUAGUCCUAAGGAAAGUAUUCAAAAGAAAAAGAAAAAGGCUUACAGAAGUAUAAAUUACAGGUUUCUCUUCUUCUUUUUUUUUUUUUUUGUAAUGCCAGGGACAGGGCAAGGGAGGAGGAAAACAUAUUAACUGGCAACAGAAGAUUGAUCAUGUAAAUAAAUCUCCACCAACUUAAUAUAAUAUUUUUCAGCCAUUAAAAUAUGAAAGUUGUGAGAUUAUGGAAAUACAAGGUAAUAUUUAAAAUUAUAUGUGAAUUCGGUCAAGGAAGGUCUUAAAGAUUACAUUGAAGCAAUAAAACAGUGAAUGCAUUACAGUGGCACAAAGUGGCAGGGUAAAUUUUUUGCUUUAAACUUCCCUUCUAAGUGUUGUCAAAAAAAUGUUAAAGUAUUGUUUGGAAAAAUCUUAUUGGCACCUAGUUUUCCAUAUUGCAAAUGUCAUGUGCAAAAUUUAAUAUCAUUUUGCAUGUGGUUAUAGUGUACAUUUAUUUCAUGCUGUCCUGAACAAAUAUUUUCUACACAACAUGGGAGAAUUGGAGGCAAUGUCUUCUAUACCCUAUUCUAUCUGCCAUCUUGGAGGAUAAUAACUGAAAACUGCAAAAGGAGUUAAAUGGUUGGAUCACUUGCCUACUUACCAAAGUGAUCCACCUCUCAAAGUUUAAGGAACAAACAUAACAGAUUCAAAUAAAAACAGUCUCUAUUAUGUAAAAACCUUUGAAUAUAAUGAUCUAAAUCAAACUUAUUUUUUAAGAUU